GAGCGGAAAGGCCCUUCGGGGUACUCGAGCGGCGAACGGGUGAGUAACACGUGAGCAAUCUGCCCUUAGCUUCGGGAUAGCUCCGGGUAAACCGGUAAUUAAUACCGGAUAUGACUACGGCCGACAUCAGCCGUGGUGGAAAGAUUUAUCGGCUAGGGAUGAGCUCGCGGCCUAUCAGCUUGUUGGUGGGGUAACGGCCUACCAAGGCGACGACGGGUAGCCGGCCUGAGAGGGCGACCGGCCACACUGGGACUGAGACACGGCCCAGACUCCUACGGGAGGCAGCAGUGGGGAAUAUUGCGCAAUGGGCGAAAGCCUGACGCAGCGACGCCGCGUGCGGGAUGAAGGCCUUCGGGUUGUAAACCGCUUUCAGCAGGGACGAAGCGAAAGUGACGGUACCUGCAGAAGAAGCGCCGGCUAACUACGUGCCAGCAGCCGCGGUAAU
Molecule: ribosomal RNA, 445 nt
Filed under: uncultured bacterium
Lineage: Bacteria
Description: bacterial SSU rRNA
Rfam family: Bacterial small subunit ribosomal RNA
Source: RNAcentral